This 471-nucleotide transfer RNA is filed under the name Pseudomonas fluorescens. RNAcentral describes it as "partial contains 16S ribosomal RNA, 16S-23S ribosomal RNA intergenic spacer, and 23S ribosomal RNA". The stretch from base 59 to 132 matches the Rfam family "tRNA". Lineage: Bacteria; Pseudomonadati; Pseudomonadota; Gammaproteobacteria; Pseudomonadales; Pseudomonadaceae. The record is from RNAcentral.
GAUCUCAGCUUCUUCAUCAGCUCCCACACGAAUUGCUUGAUUCACUGGUUAGACGAUUGGGUCUGUAGCUCAGUUGGUUAGAGCGCACCCCUGAUACGGGUGAGGUCGGCAGUUCGAAUCUGCCCAGACCCACCAAUUGUUGGUGUGCUGCGUGAUCCGAUACGGGGCCAUAGCUCAGCUGGGAGAGCGCCUGCUUUGCACGCAGGAGGUCAGGAGUUCGAUCCUCCUUGGCUCCACCAUCCAAAACAAUCGUCGAAAGCUCAGAAAUGAAUGUUCGUAGAUGAACAUUGAUUUCUGGUCUUUGCACCAGAACUGUUCUUCAAAAAUUCGGGUAUGUGAUAGAAGUCAGACUGAAUGAUCUCUUUCACUGGUGAUCAUUCAAGUCAAGGGAAAAUUUGCGAGUUCAAGCGCGAAUUUUCGGCGAAUGUCGUCUUCACAGUACAACCAGAUUGCUUGGGGUUAUAUAUGGUC